GACGAACGCUGGCGGCGCGCUUAACACAUGCAAGUCGAACGGAAAGGCCUGCUUUCCCUUGUGGAUUGCGGGUACUCGAGUGGCGAACGGGUGAGUAACACGUGAGUGAUCUGCCCCCAACUUGGGUAUAAGCCUGGGAAACUGGGUCUAAUUCCCGAUAGGACUGCAGGGUGGUGCCUGUGGUGGAAAACGAUUUUCUAGUGGUUGGGGAUGAGCUCGCGGCCUAUCAGCUUGUUGGUGGGGUAAUGGCCUACCAAGGCGGCGACGGGUAGCCGGCCUGAGAGGGUGGACGGCCACAUUGGGACUGAGAUACGGCCCAGACUCCUACGGGAGGCAGCAGUGGGGAAGAUUGCACAAUGGGCGGAAGCCUGAUGCAGCGACGCCGCGUGGGGGAUGACGGCCUUCGGGUUGUAAACUCCUUUCGACCGCGAGGAAGCCACCUGGUUGGAAGGGUGGUGACGGUAGUGGUAGAAGAAGCACCGGCUAACUACGU
Molecule: ribosomal RNA, 493 nt
Filed under: uncultured bacterium
Lineage: Bacteria
Description: partial 16S ribosomal RNA
Rfam family: Bacterial small subunit ribosomal RNA
Source: RNAcentral